RNAcentral lists this transfer RNA (64 nucleotides) under Cavia porcellus (domestic guinea pig). It matches the Rfam family "tRNA", at positions 1 to 62 of the family's 71-position model. From Rfam's summary of the family: Transfer RNA (tRNA) molecules are approximately 80 nucleotides in length. Their secondary structure includes four short double-helical elements and three loops (D, anti-codon, and T loops). The record is from Rfam by way of RNAcentral. Lineage: Eukaryota; Metazoa; Chordata; Mammalia; Rodentia; Caviidae.
GGGGAUUUAGCUCAGUGGCUCAAGUGCUUGCCUGGUAAGCAUGAGGUCGUGGGUUCAAUCCCCG